UACGUAGGGUGCAAGCGUUGUCCGGAAUUAUUGGGCGUAAAGAGCUCGUAGGCGGUCUGUCGCGUCGGCUGUGAAAUCCCGAGGCUCAACCUCGGGUCUGCGGUCGAUACGGGCAAACUAGAGUAUUGCAGGGGAGACUGGAAUUCCUGGUGUAGCGGUGAAAUGCGCAGAUAUCAGGAGGAACACCGGUGGCGAAGGCGGGUCUCUGGGCAAUAACUGACGCUGAGGAGCGAAAGCGUGGGGAGCGAACAGG
Molecule: ribosomal RNA, 253 nt
Filed under: uncultured bacterium
Lineage: Bacteria
Description: partial 16S ribosomal RNA
Rfam family: Bacterial small subunit ribosomal RNA
Source: RNAcentral